Molecule: ribosomal RNA, 301 nt
Filed under: uncultured bacterium
Lineage: Bacteria
Description: partial 16S ribosomal RNA
Rfam family: Bacterial small subunit ribosomal RNA
Source: RNAcentral
CAGUAGCCGCGGGAAUACGUAGGUGGCAAGCGUUGUCCGGAUUUAUUGGGCGUAAAGCGAGCGCAGGCGGUCAAUUAAGCCUGAUGUGAAAGCCCCCGGCUCAACCGGGGAGGGUCAUUGGAAACUGGUUGACUUGAGUGCAGAAGAAGAGAGUGGAAUUCCAUGUGUAGCGGUGAAAUGCGUAGAUAUAUGGAGGAACACCAGUGGCGAAGGCGACUCUCUGGUCUGUAACUGACGCUGAGGCUCGAAAGCGUGGGUAGCAAACAGGAUUAGAUACCCCUGUAGUCCCUGUCUCUUAUAC